RNAcentral lists this non-coding RNA (26 nucleotides) under Homo sapiens (human). The record is from RNAcentral. Lineage: Eukaryota; Metazoa; Chordata; Mammalia; Primates; Hominidae.
UGGACGUGCAAGGUACCUGUCCCAGC